CCCGUGAACCUUUACUAUAGCUUGACACUGAACAUUGAGCCUUGAUGUGUAGGAUAGGUGGGAGGCUUAGAAGUGUGGACGCCAGUCUGCAUGGAGCCGACCUUGAAAUACCACCCUUUAAUGUUUGAUGUUCUAACGUUGACCCGUAAUCCGGGUUGCGGACAGUGUCUGGUGGGUAGUUUGACUGGGGCGGUCUCCUCCUAAAGAGUAACGGAGGAGCACGAAGGUUGGCUAAUCCUGGUCGGACAUCAGGAGGUUAGUGCAAUGGCAUAAGCCAGCUUGACUGCGAGCGUGACGGCGCGAGCAGGUGCGAAAGCAGGUCAUAGUGAUCCGGUGGUUCUGAAUGGAAGGGCCAUCGCUCAACGGAUAAAAGGUACUCCGGGGAUAACAGGCUGAUACCGCCCAAGAGUUCAUAUCGACGGCGGUGUUUGGCACCUCGAUGUCGGCUCAUCACAUCCUGGGGCUGAAGUAGGUCCCAAGGGUAUGGCUGUUCGCCAUUUAAAGUGGUACGCGAGCUGGGUUUAGAACGUCGUGAGACAGUUCGGUCCCUAUCUGCCGUGG
This 561-nucleotide ribosomal RNA is filed under the name Escherichia coli. Its description in RNAcentral is "partial 23S ribosomal RNA". It matches the Rfam family "Bacterial large subunit ribosomal RNA", at positions 2090 to 2650 of the family's 2925-position model. Lineage: Bacteria; Pseudomonadati; Pseudomonadota; Gammaproteobacteria; Enterobacterales; Enterobacteriaceae. The record is from RNAcentral.